Molecule: non-coding RNA, 326 nt
Organism: Pelobates cultripes (western spadefoot toad)
Lineage: Eukaryota; Metazoa; Chordata; Amphibia; Anura; Pelobatidae
Source: the annotation of a GenBank genome assembly
CGGCUCACCCACAGCUUCUUCUGGCCAGGCAUCUCUCAGGAUCUGAGGCAGUAAUACCAGAUAUCUGCCAGAGAGUGGGGAAGAGAAGGGACUGGCACAGGGCCUCCCUCCAUCACCUACCUAUUAGUGAAGCUCCGUUCCGCAGAGUAGCUGUCGACAUUAUAGUUGUGCAGGCACUUUGGUGACUCUAGAGAAACUUGGGCCAAUCGCACGUCCCCGUGAAGGUGACUUUGCAUUCGGAUAUCUGUCCUAUCAACUUUCGAUGCCACUUUCUGCACCUAACAUGGUGACCACAGGAAACGGUGAAGCAGGGUUCGAUUCCGGAG